AACAUACUUGCUUUUAUGGAAAAAGUAAUUAUAAUUUAAAUUUAGUGUAAUUUAAUUUGACAGUGUAAAUAUAUUAUUUACAUUUGUAAAAUCAUUUAAAAUUCAAAGGGCAAAAGUAGUUUUUGCCCUUUAAUCAUCGUAUG
Non-coding RNA from Rickettsia bellii, 143 nucleotides. Lineage: Bacteria; Pseudomonadati; Pseudomonadota; Alphaproteobacteria; Rickettsiales; Rickettsiaceae. The record is from Rfam.